GCGCGAAACCUCCACACUGCACGAAAGUGCGAUGGGGGGAUCCAACGUGCUCACGUCUAACGUGGGCUUUUGCCAAGACCAGAGACCUUGGCGAAUAAGGGGUGGGCAAGACCGGUGCCAGCCGCCGCGGUAACACCGGCGCCCCGAGUGGCACUCGCGAUUAUUGGGCCUAAAGCGUCCGUAGCCGGACAGGUAAAUCCGCUGUGAAAUCGUGCCGCUCAACGGUACGGCGCGCAGCGGACACUGCCAGUCUCGAGACCGGGAGGGGUCAGAGGUAUGCCGUGGGGACCGGUAAAAUGGGAUAAUCCACGGUAGACCACCGAUGGCGAAGGCAUCUGACCAGAACGGAUCUGACGGUGAGGGACGAAAGCCAGGGGAGCGAACCGG
Molecule: ribosomal RNA, 387 nt
Filed under: uncultured euryarchaeote
Lineage: Archaea; Methanobacteriati; Methanobacteriota
Description: bacterial SSU rRNA
Rfam family: Archaeal small subunit ribosomal RNA
Source: RNAcentral